RNAcentral lists this ribosomal RNA (406 nucleotides) under uncultured bacterium. RNAcentral describes it as "partial 16S ribosomal RNA". It matches the Rfam family "Bacterial small subunit ribosomal RNA", at positions 30 to 526 of the family's 1533-position model. The record is from RNAcentral.
AUUGAACGCUGGCGGCAGGCCUAACACAUGCAAGUCGAACGAGUGGCGGACGGGUGAGUAAUGUCUGGGAAACUGCCCGAUGGAGAGGGAUAACUACUGGAAACGGUAGCUAAUACCGCAUACCAUCGGAUGUACCCAGAUGGGAUGAGCUAGUCGGUUGGGUAACGGCUCACCUAGGCGACGAUCCCUAGCUGGUCUGAGAGGAUGACCAGCCACACUGGAACUGAGACACGGUCCAGACUCCUACGGGAGGCAGCAGUGGGGAAUAUUGCACAAUGGGCGCAAGCCUGAUGCAGCCAUGCCGCGUGUAUGAAGAAGGCCUUCGGGUUGUAAAGUACUUUCAGCGGGGAGGCGUUACCCGCAGAAGAAGCACCGGCUAACUCCGUGCCAGCAGCCGCGGUAAUAC